CCCGUGUCCAAAUAGGUCACGUUCAUUCAUUUUGAAACAGGAAGAAGCAUCGAUAUGAAGAUAAUUCGUAUUGUUGCUAACUGCUAAAAAGAAGAAGUUGUUUGCCAUGUGGUGCAUUCUACACAUUUUCAGUCCAAGUUCUGCCGGGUUGAGGGGUCCCUGCUGCAGUUUUACCAGUAAAGAAAAUACUCAUUAUAAUUCACUUGGAGGACUACAUAAGCCAUGCAGUGGUGCAUGGAGGAGCGCCAAGAGGACAUAAAGUGGAAGUCUGCAAAGGUCCAUCAUGGUGCUGGAAACAGAGUGACUGUGAUUUAUUCUAUGGGGUGGUGAAAGGUCCUGCCUUUCUACAGAUGAACAGUAAAAAUCAACAGAAUGCCAUCAAAGCAAAUGAAGCAAGAGAUGUCUUUUUAUUCAUCUUUGAGUAUCUGGAGGAGCUGGACACAUUCAUAUCAAAUUGUCUUGAUGAACAAGGCCUCAUGCCAUGUUCUGUGAAUAGUCUUUCAGAGCAAAUCUCUCUCCGUGUAGCCCAUGUAUGUAGUUAUGUGUACUGCAUAACAAACUGUUUGUUUGAUCAUUCAACUGUUCAUUCAACUUCUCAGACUUAUGAUAUUUGGAACAUAUAUUAUGUUAAACACAAUUAGUCAAAAGUUUUUGAACAGUAAGAUUUUUAAUGUUUUUUUAAAGAAGUCUCUUCUGCCCACCAAGCCUGGAUUUAUUUGAUCCAAAGUACAGCAAAAACAGUAACAUUUUAAAAUAUUUUUACUAUUUAAAAUAACUUUUUCUAUUUGAAACAGUUUUCUAUAUUUCUAUUAAAAUGUAAUUAAUUCCACUGAUUUCAAAUAUGACGUUUAGCAUUACUCCAGUCACAUGAUCCUUCAGAAAUCAUUAUAUAUUCUAAUUUGCUGCUCAAUAUUAUUAUUGUUAUUAUUAUUACUAUUAUUAUUAAGUUAAAAACAGCUGAGUAGCUUUUUUUCAGGUUUCUUUGAUGAAUAGAAAGUUCAGAAGAACAGCAUUUAUCUGAAAUAGAAAUCUUUUGAAACAUUAUAAAUGUCUUUAUCAUCACUUUUGUUUAAUCUAAAGCAUCCUUGCUAAAUAAAAGUAUUAAUUUCUAUAAUCUAUUAAUUCUGUAAUAAUGUGUAUGUAUGUACACACUGACUCCAAGCUUUUGAAUAGUAAAGUGUAUAAUGUUACAAAAGCCUUUUUAUUUCAGAUAAAUGCUGAUCUUUGGAUAUUUCUAUUUAUCAAAGAAUCCAGAAAAAAAUGUACUCAACUGCUUUAAAUAUUGAUGAUAAUCAGAAAUGUUUUUAUUGAGCAGUAAAUCAGCAUAUUAGAAUGAUUUCUGAAGGAUCAAGUGACACAGAAGACUGUAAUGAUGUAAUGAUGCUGAACAUUUAGCUUUGAUCAAAGAAAUAUAUUACACUUCAAAAUAUAUUCAAAUAGAAGCUUAAAUUGUGUGUCAUUUUGGAUCAAAUAAAUGCAGGCUUGGUGAGCAAAGACUCUUCUUUGGAAAAAAAAAAACAAUAAAAAAAAACUUUUGGCUGGUGAAAAAAUAAAUAUAAAAUGCACAAAGAAGUAAUGGAUGUCUUUUUAUUCAUCUUUAAGUAUGUGGAGGACCUGGACACAUUUCAUAACACUUAUUUAAACAAUCAAAGCAAUCAACCUCUAUUUAUGUAUGUGUAGCCUACUGCAUAUGGAGAACUGCUGAUUCUAUCAUUUAAAUGUUAACACUUUAUGAUAAGUGGAACACAGCUUAAAAAAAUAAAAUAAAAUAAAAAUAAGUGACAAUUAUACAAUACCAACUAUUACAAUGAUUUUACAUACUUUUACAAUACCAAAAAUCGAACUGUCCCCUUUAAAUUUGAUACAUUUAAAAUUCCUAAAGUCGAUCGUAAUAAAUGUGAUUUUAUCUCAUAACAUAAAUGAACAAGGUAAGGUUUAAAGGUUUUUAUUAACAAUUAGUCUAAUGUAGUCAAUGCAAGCGUAUUACAGGCUGUCAUGAUGACGAAAUCAGCUCCGUAUAUUAGACUUUUUAAAUAUAUUAGAUUUAAGCUGUGGCAUUUUAGCCUGGACAUCCUUUACACAGAUAAGAAAACGUGUAUUAGUAAAACGAAGGACAAUGGCCUAUUAUUUUAUAUAGAUCCCCGAAACUACUGUAAGUUGCUUCGACAUACUUCCGGGUUUCCCCGGUAUAGGGAUUGGGGAAUCACAAGGUGACAUGUUUCAUA
Long non-coding RNA from Labeo rohita (rohu), 2225 nucleotides. RefSeq lists it as uncharacterized. The transcript is spliced from 3 exons. NCBI's taxonomy places the organism in Eukaryota, Metazoa, Chordata, Actinopteri, Cypriniformes, Cyprinidae. The record is from RefSeq and is a predicted model, not a curated record.